RNAcentral lists this ribosomal RNA (465 nucleotides) under uncultured bacterium. RNAcentral describes it as "partial 16S ribosomal RNA". It matches the Rfam family "Bacterial small subunit ribosomal RNA", at positions 338 to 795 of the family's 1533-position model. The record is from RNAcentral.
CCUACGGGAGGCAGCAGUAGGGAAUCUUCCACAAUGGGCGAAAGCCUGAUGGAGCAACGCCGCGUGGGUGAAGAAGGUCUUCGGAUCGUAAAACCCUGUUGUUAGAGAAGAAAGUGCGUGAGAGUAACUGUUCACGUUUCGACGGUAUCUAACCAGAAAGCCACGGCUAACUACGUGCCAGCAGCCGCGGCAAUACGUAGGUGGCAAGCGUUAUCCGGAUUUAUUGGGCGUAAAGGGAACGCAGGCGGUCUUUUAAGUCUGAUGUGAAAGCCUUCGGCUUAACCGGAGUAGUGCAUUGGAAACUGGGAGACUUGAGUGCAGAAGAGGAGAGUGGAACUCCAUGUGUAGCGGUGAAAUGCGUAGAUAUAUGGAAGAACACCAGUGGCGAAAGCGGCUCUCUGGGCUGUAACUGACGCUGAGGUUCGAAAGCGUGGGUAGCAAACAGGAUUAGAUACCCGAGUAGUC